UGCAACGAAAAAGACCGUGCGGUGAGC
Molecule: small RNA, 27 nt
Filed under: Bombyx mori (domestic silkworm)
Lineage: Eukaryota; Metazoa; Arthropoda; Insecta; Lepidoptera; Bombycidae
Description: ovarian small RNA-33325
Source: RNAcentral